AUUGAACGCUGGCGGCAGGCCUAACACAUGCAAGUCGAGCGGUAGAGAGGUGCUUGCAUCUCUUGAGAGCGGCGGACGGGUGAGUAAUGCCUAGGAAUCUGCCUAGUGGUGGGGGAUAACGUUCGGAAACGGACGCUAAUACCGCAUACGUCCUACGGGAGAAAGCGGGGGAUCUUCGGACCUCGCGCCAUUAGAUGAGCCUAGGUCGGAUUAGCUAGUUGGUGAGGUAAUGGCUCACCAAGGCGACGAUCCGUAACUGGUCUGAGAGGAUGAUCAGCCACACUGGAACUGAGACACGGUCCAGACUCCUACGGGAGGCAGCAGUGGGGAAUAUUGGACAAUGGCGAAAGCCUGAUCCAGCCAUGCCGCGUGUGUGAAGAAGGUCUUCGGAUUGUAAAGCACUUUAAGUUGGAGGAAGGGCAGUAAGUUAAUACCUUGCUGUUUUUGACGUUUACCGAACAGAAUAAGACACCGGACUAACUUCG
This 485-nucleotide ribosomal RNA is filed under the name uncultured bacterium. RNAcentral's name for it is "bacterial SSU rRNA". It matches the Rfam family "Bacterial small subunit ribosomal RNA", at positions 30 to 505 of the family's 1533-position model. The record is from RNAcentral.